CUUACACUAAGUCAAAGAAUUCUCAGCUUUGCACACUGACCUGCUAGCAAGGAGCUAGUGGUGCACAAGGAGCUGAGAGGAGACAGAACCAGGGGAGCUAGCUAACCUUGCCAAAAGAAAGAUGAUCUCCUUGGCCCAAAUUGAGAAGAGGCAGUUUGGUAGCUUUGCUGGCAGUAAAGAAAAAGCAGAGCCAAGAGAUAUGAUGUUAGAUGUGCUGGAGAGAAAUCUGAACCAGGAAGCAGGAAAUUCUGGAUGUAUAACUUGCUUCCUGAGGUAUUCCUUGUGAUAAGACUCUAGGAGAUGAGAAGUGGGCGCUGCCAUGUGGCAAUCAACAUCCCUGUCUGGAUAAUUUACAUUUGAAAGCAUUUCUUUGGAGCUGUUUGCUUUUGGAAGGGAGUGCCCAGGACUUUUUACUGGACUGUUUACUGGCGGAAGAUCUGUCCUGUGACCAAAUUACUCCUGUUUGCUAUGGGACAUUAGGGGAUACCAUGGUAGAAGCUGUCACUCCAAAAGGCUGACUCAACCACUUUGGACUUAUAAAUAAGUUUGUACUGCCAUCGCAAUCAUUGUCGUUGUUCUUGCCAUGGUCGCUGUCGUCACCAACGGAACAACACCCAAUGACCCACCUCUACUGAAGAUCGACAACUGAACCAUGAACCACGCUGGAUCCAUGGUGGUGACUAUCUCCCUCUUGCUUCCUAUAGAGACUCCUUGCUCCUAUUUCCUAUCUUUUCUACUGCCCUUCUUCUCUUCCCCAUCACCCUAAUUUGCACCUAUCAAGACUCCUUGCUUCUAUUUUCUAUCUUUUCUAUCAUUCCCCUUCCCUUCCGCAUUACCCCAAUCUGUAAUUGUGUCUGUCCUCCCCUUCUCCAUCUCCCUUAUUAAGAUUUGUA
This is a long non-coding RNA of Gallus gallus (chicken), 893 nucleotides long. NCBI's taxonomy places the organism in Eukaryota, Metazoa, Chordata, Aves, Galliformes, Phasianidae. The record is from Ensembl.